Molecule: small nucleolar RNA, 138 nt
Filed under: Ornithorhynchus anatinus (platypus)
Lineage: Eukaryota; Metazoa; Chordata; Mammalia; Monotremata; Ornithorhynchidae
Source: RNAcentral
CCCCUCUCAGGGUCGCACCUGGAGAGUUUCCAGUACUCUCCCAGUCUCGGCUAUAGAAGGGAGAGUCAAGCAGAGACAUACCCAUUCCAUUCCCAGCUUGGCCAGUGGUUAACAAGUGGAAGGCGAUCUGCUACAAAU